GGGGUUUUAGCUCAGCUGGCUAGAGCGCACGAUUCACAUUCGUGAGGUCACAGGUUCAAGCCCUGUAAACCCCACCA
This 77-nucleotide transfer RNA is filed under the name Candidatus Saccharimonadota bacterium. Its description in RNAcentral is "tRNA-Val". It matches the Rfam family "tRNA". From Rfam's summary of the family: Transfer RNA (tRNA) molecules are approximately 80 nucleotides in length. Their secondary structure includes four short double-helical elements and three loops (D, anti-codon, and T loops). Further hydrogen bonds mediate the characteristic L-shaped molecular structure. tRNAs have two regions of fundamental functional importance: the anti-codon, which is responsible for specific mRNA codon recognition, and the 3' end, to which the tRNAs corresponding amino acid is attached (by aminoacyl-tRNA synthetases). tRNAs cope with the degeneracy of the genetic code in two manners: having more than one tRNA (with a specific anti-codon) for a particular amino acid; and 'wobble' base-pairing, i.e. permitting non-standard base-pairing at the 3rd anti-codon position. Lineage: Bacteria; Candidatus Saccharimonadota. The record is from RNAcentral.